RNAcentral lists this ribosomal RNA (451 nucleotides) under uncultured bacterium. RNAcentral describes it as "bacterial SSU rRNA". It matches the Rfam family "Bacterial small subunit ribosomal RNA", at positions 29 to 524 of the family's 1533-position model. The record is from RNAcentral.
AACGAACGCUGGCGGCAUGCCUAACACAUGCAAGUCGAACGAUGCCUUCGGGCAUAGUGGCGCACGGGUGCGUAACGCGUGGGAAUCUGCCCUUGGGUUCGGAAUAACUCAGAGAAAUUUGAGCUAAUACCGGAUGAUGACGUAAGUCCAAAGAUUUAUCGCCCAAGGAUGAGCCCGCGUAAGAUUAGCUAGUUGGUGGGGUAAAGGCCUACCAAGGCGACGAUCUUUAGCUGGUCUGAGAGGAUGAUCAGCCACACUGGGACUGAGACACGGCCCAGACUCCUACGGGAGGCAGCAGUGGGGAAUAUUGGACAAUGGGCGAAAGCCUGAUCCAGCAAUGCCGCGUGAGUGAUGAAGGCCUUAGGGUUGUAAAGCUCUUUUACCAGGGAUGAUAAUGACAGUACCUGGAGAAUAAAGCUCCGGCUAACUCCGUGCCAGCAGCCGCGGUAAU